Molecule: ribosomal RNA, 433 nt
Filed under: uncultured bacterium
Lineage: Bacteria
Description: partial 16S ribosomal RNA
Rfam family: Bacterial small subunit ribosomal RNA
Source: RNAcentral
AACGAACGCUGGCGGCAUGCCUAACACAUGCAAGUCGAACGAGACCUUCGGGUCUAGUGGCGCACGGGUGCGUAACGCGUGGGAACCUGCCCUUAGGUUCGGAAUAACUCCCCGAAAGGGGUGCUAAUACCGGAUAAUGUCUUCGGACCAAAGAUUUAUCGCCUUUGGAUGGGCCCGCGUUGGAUUAGCUAGUUGGUAGGGUAAAAGCCUACCAAGGCGACGAUCAAUAGCUGGUCUGAGAGGAUGAUCAGCCACACUGGGACUGAGACACGGCCCAGACUCCUACGGGAGGCAGCAGUGGGGAAUAGUGGACAAUGGGCGAAAGCCUGAUCCAGCAAUGCCGCGUGAGUGAUGAAGGCCUUAGGGUUGUAAAGCUCUUUUACCCGGGAUGAUAAUGACAGUACCGGGAGAAUAAGCUCCGGCUAACUCCGUG